This 73-nucleotide small RNA is filed under the name 'Nostoc azollae' 0708. Its description in RNAcentral is "Cyano-1 RNA". It matches the Rfam family "Cyano-1 RNA". The record is from Rfam by way of RNAcentral. Lineage: Bacteria; Bacillati; Cyanobacteriota; Cyanophyceae; Nostocales; Nostocaceae.
UUGUGUGUGAGGAGCAAAUUUGAAAAAAGCGUCUGGGGUGGAAACAUGGCAACACUCCCAGGUGCUUUUUGAU